This 254-nucleotide ribosomal RNA is filed under the name uncultured prokaryote. RNAcentral describes it as "partial 16S ribosomal RNA". It matches the Rfam family "Bacterial small subunit ribosomal RNA", at positions 525 to 777 of the family's 1533-position model. The record is from RNAcentral.
ACGUAGGACCCAAGCGUUAUCCGGAGUGACUGGGCGUAAAGAGUUGCGUAGGCGGACAAGUAAGCGAAUAGUGAAAUCUGAUGGCUCAACCAUCAACACAUUGUUCGAACUGCUGGUCUCGAGAAUGGUAGAGGUAGUUGGAAUUUCUUGUGUAGGAGUGAAAUCCGUAGAUAUAAGAAGGAACACCAAUGGCGUAGGCAGACUACUGGACCAUUUCUGACGCUGAGGCACGAAAGCGUGGGGAGCGAACCGGA